This 253-nucleotide ribosomal RNA is filed under the name uncultured Alphaproteobacteria bacterium. Its description in RNAcentral is "partial 16S ribosomal RNA". It matches the Rfam family "Bacterial small subunit ribosomal RNA", at positions 524 to 776 of the family's 1533-position model. The record is from RNAcentral. Lineage: Bacteria; Pseudomonadati; Pseudomonadota; Alphaproteobacteria.
UACGGAGGGGGCUAGCGUUGUUCGGAAUUACUGGGCGUAAAGCGCACGUAGGCGGCUUUGUAAGUCAGAGGUGAAAGCCCAGGGCUCAACCUUGGAACUGCCUUUGAGACUGCAGAGCUUGAAUCACGGAGAGGUGGGUGGAAUUCCGAGUGUAGAGGUGAAAUUCGUAGAUAUUCGGAAGAACACCAGUGGCGAAGGCGGCCCACUGGACGUGUAUUGACGCUGAGGUGCGAAAGCGUGGGGAGCAAACAGG